RNAcentral lists this ribosomal RNA (884 nucleotides) under uncultured Treponema sp. Its description in RNAcentral is "partial 23S ribosomal RNA". Lineage: Bacteria; Pseudomonadati; Spirochaetota; Spirochaetia; Treponematales; Treponemataceae. The record is from RNAcentral.
CCGUUUUUGGGAGUGAGACUGCGGGCGACAAGGUUCGUAGUCGAGAGGGAAACAGCCCAGACCGUCGGCUAAGGUCCCAAAUAGUAUGCUAAGUGUGAAAUGAUGUGUCAUGGCAAAGACAGCCAAGGAGGUUGGCUUAGAAGCAGCCAUUCCUUUAAAGAGUGCGUAAUAGCUCACUGGUCGAGUCAUGACGCGCAGACAAUGUAACGGGGCUAAGCAUACAACCGAAGCCGCGGAAUCAUGCAGYAAUGUAUGGUUGGUAGGGGAGCAUUCCAUGGGCCGAAGAAGGUAAACUGCAAGGUUUGCUGGAGGUAGUGGAAGAGAGAAUGCAGGUAUAAGUACACGAAAAGAGGGGUGAGAUUCCCCUCCGCCGAAAGCCUAAGGAUUCCUGGGUAAAGGUCAUCUGCCCAGGGUAAGUCGGCCCCUAAGGUGAGGACGAAAGUCGUAACCGAUGGGAAACUGGUUCAUAUUCCAGUACCGUUCUUGGUUUUAUGGGAUGACGCGUGAGGUGAAACCCGGCCGGGCGACGGUUGUCCCGGUCAAAGGAGCGAGUUAAUGGUGUUGGAGAAAACGACACCAGAUGAGCUUUUACAGCGAGUGGAGCUACGGCAAAGCGAAGCGGGUGUAAUCAAGGCGCCAAGAAAUAAUCCCCACUAGAUAGGCCAAGAAGACCGUACCGUAAACCGACACAGGUAGGCGGGAUGAGAAAUCUAAGGCGCUCGAGAGAACUCGCGUUAAGGAACUCGGCAAAAUGCGCACGUAACUUCGGGAGAAGUGCGGCCGUUGGCGGUUUUAGCAAUAGAGUCGUUGGCGGCGUCACAAAGCAGUCCCAGGCGACUGUUUAUCAAAAACACAGGCCUCUGCGAACCAGCCAUGAGACGUAU